RNAcentral lists this ribosomal RNA (488 nucleotides) under uncultured bacterium. RNAcentral describes it as "bacterial SSU rRNA". It matches the Rfam family "Bacterial small subunit ribosomal RNA", at positions 30 to 507 of the family's 1533-position model. The record is from RNAcentral.
AUUGAACGCUGGCGGCAUGCCUAACACAUGCAAGUCGAACGGAAACGAUGGAAGCUUGCUUCCAGGCGUCGAGUGGCGGACGGGUGAGUAAUGCUUAGGAAUCUGCCCAAUAGUGGGGGACAACCAGGAGAAAUUCUGGCUAAUACCGCAUACGCACUACGGUGGAAAGUGGGGGACCUUCGGGCCUCACGCUAUUGGAUGAGCCUAAGUCGGAUUAGCUUGUUGGUGGGGUAAUGGCUCACCAAGGCGACGAUCCGUAGCUGGUCUGAGAGGACGAUCAGCCACACUGGGACUGAGACACGGCCCAGACUCCUACGGGAGGCAGCAGUGGGGAAUAUUGGACAAUGGGGGCAACCCUGAUCCAGCAAUGCCGCGUGUGUGAAGAAGGCCUGCGGGUUGUAAAGCACUUUCAGUAGAGAAGAAAAGCUUACGGUUAAUACCCGUGAGUCUUGACGUAACCUACAGAAGAAGCACCGGCUAACUCCGUG